UAGGCCUUUGCUAGGAGGCGUCGAGCGGCGGACGGGUGAGUAAUGCAUAGGAAUCUGCCCGGUAGUGGGGGAUAACCUGAGGAAACUCAGGCUAAUACCGCAUACGUCCUACGGGAGAAAGCAGGGGCUCUUCGGACCUUGCGCUAUCGGAUGAGCUUAUGUCGGAUUAGCUGGUUGGUGAGGUAACGGCUCACCAAGGCGACGAUCCGUAGCUGGUCUGAGAGGAUGAUCAGCCACAUCGGGACUGAGACACGGCCCGAACUCCUACGGGAGGCAGCAGUGGGGAAUAUUGGACAAUGGGGGCAACCCUGAUCCAGCCAUGCCGCGUGUGUGAAGAAGGCCCUCGGGUUGUAAAGCACUUUCAGUGAGGAAGAAGGCUUGUCGGUUAAUACCCGGCAAGAAAGACAUCACUCACAGAAGAAGCACCGGCUAACUCCGUGCCAGCAGCCGCGGUAAUACGGAGGGUGCGAGCGUUAAUCGGAAUUACUGGGCGUAAAGCGUGCGUAGGCGGCUUGAUAAGCCGGUUGUGAAAGCCCCGGGCUCAACCUGGGAACGGCAUCCGGAACUGUCAGGCUAGAGUGCAGGAGAGGAAGGUAGAAUUCCCGG
RNAcentral lists this ribosomal RNA (606 nucleotides) under Halomonas caseinilytica. Its description in RNAcentral is "bacterial SSU rRNA". It matches the Rfam family "Bacterial small subunit ribosomal RNA", at positions 70 to 673 of the family's 1533-position model. The record is from RNAcentral. Lineage: Bacteria; Pseudomonadati; Pseudomonadota; Gammaproteobacteria; Oceanospirillales; Halomonadaceae.